GGGUGAAGAAGCGGAGCUCUCGGGACAGAAGGCCAGGCUUUUUGAGCUGUGUUGGUUGUCACGGUUCCUGUUUCGUGAACCACAAGCAGCUCAACAAACUGUGGUCUGUGUUCUCUCCUAAAACCCUUUGCACUUCCCACU
Equus asinus (donkey) is the source of this 141-nucleotide microRNA precursor. Lineage: Eukaryota; Metazoa; Chordata; Mammalia; Perissodactyla; Equidae. The record is from Ensembl.